UUGAACGCUGGCGGCAUGCUUUACACAUGCAAGUCGAGCGGCAGCGCGGGCUUCGGCCUGGCGGCGAGUGGCGAACGGGUGAGUAAUGCAUCGGAACGUGCCCAGUAGUGGGGGAUAGCCCGGCGAAAGCCGGAUUAAUACCGCAUACGACCUGAGGGUGAAAGCGGGGGACCGAAAGGCCUCGCGCUAUUGGAGCGGCCGAUGUCGGAUUAGCUAGUUGGUGGGGUAAAGGCUUACCAAGGCGACGAUCCGUAGCUGGUCUGAGAGGACGACCAGCCACACUGGGACUGAGACACGGCCCAGACUCCUACGGGAGGCAGCAGUGGGGAAUUUUGGACAAUGGGGGCAACCCUGAUCCAGCCAUGCCGCGUGCGGGAAGAAGGCCUUCGGGUUGUAAACCGCUUUUGUUCGGGAAGAAAUCCUCUGGGCUAAUACCCCGGGGGGAUGACGGUACCGGAAGAAUAAGCACCGGCUAACUACGUG
RNAcentral lists this ribosomal RNA (483 nucleotides) under uncultured bacterium. Its description in RNAcentral is "partial 16S ribosomal RNA". It matches the Rfam family "Bacterial small subunit ribosomal RNA", at positions 29 to 507 of the family's 1533-position model. The record is from RNAcentral.